GACGAACGCUGGCGGCGUGCUUAACACAUGCAAGUCGAGCGGUAAGGCCCUUUCGGGGGUACACGAGCGGCGAACGGGUGAGUAACACGUGGGUGACCUGCCCUCAGCUCUGGGAUAAGCCUGGGAAACUGGGUCUAAUACUGGAUAUGACUCCACGGUGCAUGUCGUGGGUGGAAAGCCUUGUGCGGCUGAGGAUGGGCCCGCGGCCUAUCAGCUUGUUGGUGGGGUGAUGGCCUACCAAGGCGACGACGGUAGCCGGCCUGAGAGGGCGACCGGCCACACUGGGACUGAGACACGGCCCAGACUCCUACGGGAGGCAGCAGUGGGGAAUAUUGCGCAAUGGGCGGAAGCCUGACGCAGCGACGCCGCGUGGGGAGUGACGGCC
This 385-nucleotide ribosomal RNA is filed under the name uncultured bacterium. RNAcentral's name for it is "bacterial SSU rRNA". It matches the Rfam family "Bacterial small subunit ribosomal RNA", at positions 28 to 416 of the family's 1533-position model. The record is from RNAcentral.